Molecule: ribosomal RNA, 254 nt
Filed under: uncultured bacterium
Lineage: Bacteria
Description: partial 16S ribosomal RNA
Rfam family: Bacterial small subunit ribosomal RNA
Source: RNAcentral
UACGGGGGGAGCAAGCGUUGUUCGGAUUUACUGGGCGUAAAGGGCGCGUAGGCGGUCAGCACAAGUCAGUUGUGAAAUCUCCGGGCUUAACUCGGAAAGGUCAACUGAUACUGUGCGACUAGAGUGCAGAAGGGGCAACUGGGAUUCUCGGUGUAGCGGUGAAAUGCGUAGAUAUCGAGAGGAACACCUGCGGCGAAGGCGGGUUGCUGGGCUGACACUGACGCUGAUGCGCGAAAGCCAGGGGAGCGAACGGG